GUAGGUUUCCUGUUUUGUUUUUUCUUUUUUCUUUCUUUCUCGUGUUGAUUAGUAAUCUGCGAACAUUUCGAACGCGAAUGAGGGAGAUGAGCGGCCGCUUUAGUUCCUACAGCAAAAA
RNAcentral lists this non-coding RNA (118 nucleotides) under Crypthecodinium cohnii. The record is from RNAcentral. Lineage: Eukaryota; Dinophyceae; Gonyaulacales; Crypthecodiniaceae.